GGUUGGCCCAGAGAUGAAGCAGACUGAAGUAGGGACAAACACAAGGGUGUGAACAGUCCAUGAUGGGCGCUCCGACCCUGAUGGAAAAGGUUUUGGCGUGUGCAGUGGCAGUAGCAAAAAGGCUGCAGAAGAAGCUAAAGGCUUCAGAAGAGGCUCUGCAAGCAGCUGUUAAUGGGAAUGAGUGGCUGCAGGAAGAGCGUUGGGAUGCUGCAAAAGAGAAGGAUGGCCUCUGAGUUCUGGUGAGCGAGCUGGCUGGGGAGCGGGAGACACUGUGGGUGCAGGCUGUACAAGCGCGCAGCCGGUGACAGCAACGAGAUGACGAGGGAUGAAGCUUGGACAAGAAUAGAACUUCCCCUUGUGUGGGCCAGUUUCUAAGGAGGAGCGUAUAUGACAGGGGGGCUUGGUCUGUGGGCAAUAAAGCCUGGAGCUAGGCCAAAUGGAUUACAGAGUGAGCUCCACCGGAGAGGAAAGCCAGGGAAAACCACAGCAAAGGUACAGGAGCAGGCCUAACUGUUCAGUACAGGGGCCUUGGGGCGGGACCUAGAAUCCAGGGUAGGACUGGUUCUCCCAUGGUCUCUAAGGAAGGGGACGUACAAGGCCAUAGAAAGGGCUACCAAGGCCAGGAAGGGCAGGCCGAGCCAAAGUCAGGCUGAGGAAGAGCCCCCAAAGGGACGGAGGACCUUGUUUCGGUUAAAGACAUUUUUGGACUUUUCGUUUGGGAUGAGCGCGACCCAGGAAGGAGUGAACUAAAAGACAGUCACCUGGCUGAAGGGCUGAGUUCCCAGGCAAAAAACUGCCAGAGUGCCCUAGCGACUCUUGGCAGGGGUGCAAGCCCCGCAAGAAAGCUGUGACACCAGGCCUUGCCAGGAAGGGGUACCUAUCGGCUCUGUCCCAGCCUCUCACACAGAUAUAUCCUGCAGCCAGCCCAGCUCAGGGAGCAGUGGGGACAGGUCAUCUCGUCCUGAGAAACCAAGCAACAUGGGUCCCAUUGAGGCUCAGAUGGAAGAUCCAAUGCACCUCCUGGAGGAUGUGUCCAGGAUCCUGGAGCCUGUUUCCUGCUGCAAGAGGUUUGAGCGGGGAGAGUUCACUCACUGUCACGACCCAGGGGUCUUCAACCUGGGUCUGCGGGGUUCAUGGGAGAGGCCACACUCCAACCUUCCACCUGGAAGCCUGCUGAAAAUUGCUUACCUAGGACCCAUGAAGUUCAGCCCCAGUUUGAGGACCGUGUGCUACCUGUUUCUGCUGCCACUCCCCUGGCUUGAUUUCCUGGCAUCUGAUUUGUGGUUGUGAUCGCAAGUUUGUCUUUUGCUGCUGAUCUUCCAGUAUCCUGACCCAGCUGACUCUCAACUCCUGUCAUGUGAGUGUGAACUCUGGCUCUGACCAGUAGGUCUGGCUGCCCUUGACCCAGCCGUGACAUUGACUUUUGUACAAUUUCUCCAAUGCCCUUUUCUGCUCUCCAGCAAGAUACACUAGUACCUUGGCUCCCAAAGUCCUAGCUGCCCACUAUUCAAGGGCUGAGGGGUAGUGCUUGUAUUGCCCCCACCCCCACCCCAGCUACUUUUCCUAUGGGAAUCUCCCUAGAGCAGAGGAGAAAUCUGCUCUUCUCUUAGGAUCAGUCCCAGCAGUAAUUCCACCCACCCUGGCCUCAGCUCAACUACUUUGUUUACCUGGGGUCAGGGACCACUUUUGAAGCCCUUAGCGUGGGGGUGGAGGUGGGAGCAGAGGCUGAAGCUCCAGCA
Long non-coding RNA from Chelonia mydas (Green sea turtle), 1739 nucleotides. RefSeq lists it as uncharacterized. Lineage: Eukaryota; Metazoa; Chordata; Testudines; Cheloniidae. The record is from RefSeq and is a predicted model, not a curated record. The transcript is spliced from 3 exons.